GAUGAACGCUGGCGGCGUGCCUAAUACAUGCAAGUCGAGCGAACAGACGAGGAGCUUGCUCCUCUGACGUUAGCGGCGGACGGGUGAGUAACACGUGGAUAACCUACCUAUAAGACUGGGAUAACUUCGGGAAACCGGAGCUAAUACCGGAUAAUAUAUUGAACCGCAUGGUUCAAUAGUGAAAGACGGUUUUGCUGUCACUUAUAGAUGGAUCCGCGCCGCAUUAGCUAGUUGGUAAGGUAACGGCUUACCAAGGCAACGAUGCGUAGCCGACCUGAGAGGGUGAUCGGCCACACUGGAACUGAGACACGGUCCAGACUCCUACGGGAGGCAGCAGUAGGGAAUCUUCCGCAAUGGGCGAAAGCCUGACGGAGCAACGCCGCGUGAGUGAUGAAGGUCUUCGGAUCGUAAAACUCUGUUAUUAGGGAAGAACAAAUGUGUAAGUAACUAUGCACGUCUUGACGGUACCGAAGCAGAAAGCCACGGCUAACUACGG
RNAcentral lists this ribosomal RNA (496 nucleotides) under uncultured bacterium. Its description in RNAcentral is "partial 16S ribosomal RNA". It matches the Rfam family "Bacterial small subunit ribosomal RNA", at positions 28 to 506 of the family's 1533-position model. The record is from RNAcentral.